CCUACGGGAGGCAGCAGUGGGGAAUAUUGCACAAUGGGGGAAACCCUGAUGCAGCGACGCCGCGUGAGUGAAGAAGUAUUUCGGUAUGUAAAGCUCUAUCAGCAGGGAAGAAAAUGACGGUACCUGAUUAAGAAGCCCCGGCUAACUACGUGACAGCAGCCGCGGUAAUACGUAGGGGGCAAGCGUUAUCCGGAUUUACUGGGUGUAAAGGGGGCGUAGACGGCAGCACAAGUCUGGAGUGAAAUGCCGGGGCUUAACCCCGGAACUGCUUUGGAAACUGUGCAGCUAGAGUGCAGGAGAGGUAAGUGGAAUUCCUAGUGUAGCGGUGAAAUGCGUAGAUAUUAGGAGGAACACCAGUGGCGAAGGCGGCUUACUGGACUGUAACUGACGUUGAGGCUCGAAAGCGUGGGGAGCAAACAGGAUUAGAUACCCUUGUAGUC
Molecule: ribosomal RNA, 440 nt
Filed under: uncultured bacterium
Lineage: Bacteria
Description: partial 16S ribosomal RNA
Rfam family: Bacterial small subunit ribosomal RNA
Source: RNAcentral